Long non-coding RNA from Galeopterus variegatus (Sunda flying lemur), 551 nucleotides. RefSeq lists it as uncharacterized. The record is from RefSeq and is a predicted model, not a curated record. NCBI's taxonomy places the organism in Eukaryota, Metazoa, Chordata, Mammalia, Dermoptera, Cynocephalidae. The transcript is spliced from 2 exons.
GGGGCACAGUAUUGUCUUAAAGGCCGAAAAAAGCGGAACAGGGGAGUAGGGGGACAGCCACGUGGCCGCAGGAGGAUUUAUAACAUUUUCUUUCGCCACUGACAAUAUUGCAAAAUGCGUGAAAGAGACGGCCCUGCCAGGACAGGAGCGUGAGGGCGCGGGCAAGCGUUUUCCCCCUACCGGAAAUCUGAUGGGCUUAUGACAUCAUGGCUGGCUGCUGAGCGAUGAAGUGGAUGCCACAAAGAAAUCCGACAUAUCGGAUGGAUUCUGAAAUCAGAUUCCCUCCGGCUGUAGUAACUGGCGAGAAGUCAGGAGAAUCUGAGCUUUGUUUAAAAAAUUAAAAAAAAAAAAAAAAACUAAGUCUUGCCCUGUAUUAAAUACGAUUUUCUUAAAAACAAGCAUACCUUUUGGAAAUCAUCCUAUUUUAAUAGAAAUGCUGGGUUUUAUGGGGAAAAAAUGGCUAAUAAAUCGGACCUGAAGCUUCAUGUGAAUGUUCCAUUUCUGUCGAGUGUUUGUGUGUCCUUAUUCACUAAUAAAGGAGGAACUCGGAA